GGCAACUCUGACCCAGCCAUGCCGCGUGCAGGAAGAAGGCGUUAUGCGUUGUAAACUGCUUUUAUAUAGGAAGAAAUAGUCUUUGCGAAGAAAGUUGACGGUACUAUAUGAAUAAGCACCGGCUAACUCCGUGCCAGCAGCCGCGGUAAUACGGAGGGUGCAAGCGUUGUCCGGAUUUAUUGGGUUUAAAGGGUGCGUAGGCGGUUUAUUAAGUCAGUGGUGAAAGACGGUCGCUCAACGAUUGCAGUGCCAUUGAUACUGGUAGACUUGAGUGGGUUUGAGGUAGCUGGAAUGGAUAGUGUAGCGGUGAAAUGCAUAGAUAUUAUCCAGAACACCAAUUGCGUAGGCAAGUUACUAAGACUCAACUGACGCUGAGGCACGAAAGUGUGGGUAUCAAACAGGAUUAGAUACCCUGGUAGUCCACACUGUCCACGAUGAU
RNAcentral lists this ribosomal RNA (439 nucleotides) under uncultured bacterium. RNAcentral's name for it is "bacterial SSU rRNA". It matches the Rfam family "Bacterial small subunit ribosomal RNA", at positions 376 to 813 of the family's 1533-position model. The record is from RNAcentral.